RNAcentral lists this ribosomal RNA (465 nucleotides) under uncultured bacterium. RNAcentral's name for it is "partial 16S ribosomal RNA". It matches the Rfam family "Bacterial small subunit ribosomal RNA", at positions 28 to 507 of the family's 1533-position model. The record is from RNAcentral.
GAUGAACGCUGGCGGCGUGCUUAACACAUGCAAGUCGAACGGAAAGGCUCCUGCUUGCAGGGGUACUCGAGUGGCGAACGGGUGAGUAACAUGUGGGUGAUCUGCCCUGCACUUCGGGAUAAGCCUGGGAAACUGGGUCUAAUACCGGAUAGGACGAUGGUUUGGAUGCCAUUGUGGAAAGUUUUUCGGUGUGGGAUGAGCUCGCGGCCUAUCAGCUUGUUGGUGGGGUAAUGGCCUACCAAGGCGUCGACGGGUAGCCGGCCUGAGAGGGUGUACGGCCACAUUGGGACUGAGAUACGGCCCAGACUCCUACGGGAGGCAGCAGUGGGGAAUAUUGCACAAUGGGCGCAAGCCUGAUGCAGCGACGCCGCGUGGGGGAUGACGGCCUUCGGGUUGUAAACUCCUUUCGCUAGGGACGAAGCGCAAGUGACGGUACCUGGAGAAGAAGCACCGGCUAACUACGUG